GACACGGUCCAAACUCCUACGGGAGGCAGCAGUGAGGAAUAUUGGUCAAUGGACGAGAGUCUGAACCAGCCAAGUAGCGUGCAGGAUGACGGCCCUCUGGGUUGUAAACUGCUUUUAGUUGGGAACAAAAAAGGCGACGUGUCGCCUCUAGAGUGUACCAUCAGAAAAAGGACCGGCUAAUUCCGUGCCAGCAGCCGCGGUAAUACGGAAGGUCCAGGCGUUAUCCGGAUUUAUUGGGUUUAAAGGGAGCGUAGGCGGACGAUUAAGUCAGCUGUGAAAGUUUGCGGCUCAACCGUAAAAUUGCAGUUGAAACUGGUUGUCUUGAGUGCACGCAGGGAUGUUGGAAUUCAUGGUGUAGCGGUGAAAUGCUUAGAUAUCAUGAAGAACUCCGAUCGCGAAGGCAUAUGUCUGGAGUGCAACUGACGCUGAGGCUCGAAAGUGCGGGUAUCGAACAGGAUUAGAUACCCUGGUAGUCCGCACAGUAAACGAUGAACGGUGAAACUCAAAGGAAUUGACGGGGGCCCGCACAAGCGGAGGAACAUGUGGUUUAAUUCGAUGAUACGCGAGGAACCUUACCCGGGCUUGAACUAAGCAGGAAGAUGGGCAGAGACGCCCGUUGUCUUCGGACCUGCUUGGAGGUGCUGCAUGGUUGUCGUCAGCUCGUGCCGUGAGGUGUCGGCUUAAGUGCCAUAACGAGCGCAACCCUUCUCCACGUUUGCCAUCAGUUUAAGCUGGGCACUCCGUGGAUACUGCCAUCGUAAGAUGUGAGGAAGGUGGGGAUGACGUCAAAUCAGCACGGCCCUUACGUCCGGGGCUACACACGUGUUACAAUGGCCGGUACAGAGGGAAGCCACCAGGCGACUGGGCGCUGAUCCAUGAAAACCGGUCUCAGUUCGGACUGGAGUCUGCAACCCGACUCCACGAAGCUGGAUUCGCUAGUAAUCGCGCAUCAGCCAUGGCGCGGUGAAUACGUUCCCGGGCCUUGUACACACCGCCCGUCAAGCCAUGAAAGCCG
This 1015-nucleotide ribosomal RNA is filed under the name human oral metagenome. Its description in RNAcentral is "bacterial SSU rRNA". It matches the Rfam family "Bacterial small subunit ribosomal RNA", at positions 323 to 1413 of the family's 1533-position model. The record is from RNAcentral.